Molecule: ribosomal RNA, 408 nt
Filed under: Daldinia loculata
Lineage: Eukaryota; Fungi; Ascomycota; Sordariomycetes; Xylariales; Hypoxylaceae
Description: eukaryotic LSU rRNA
Rfam family: Eukaryotic large subunit ribosomal RNA
Source: RNAcentral
UGAGUUCCCUGGAACGGGACGCCAGAGAGGGUGAGAGCCCCGUACGGUUGGACACCGAGCCUCUAUAUAGCUCCUUCGACGAGUCGAGUAGUUUGGGAAUGCUGCUCUAAAUGGGAGGUAAAUUUCUUCUAAAGCUAAAUACCGGCCAGAGACCGAUAGCGCACAAGUAGAGUGAUCGAAAGAUGAAAAGUACUUUGAAAAGAGGGUUAAAUAGCACGUGAAAUUGUUGAAAGGGAAGCGUUUGCGACCAGACUUUUUCCAGGCGGAUCAUCCGGUGUUCUCACCGGUGCACUUCGCCUGGUUUAGGCCAGCAUCGGUUCUCUUAGGGGGAUAAAGGCCUGGGGAACGUAGCUCCUUCGGGAGUGUUAUAGCCCCUAGCGUAAUACCCUUCGGGGGACCGAGGAACGC